RNAcentral lists this ribosomal RNA (112 nucleotides) under Fasciola hepatica (liver fluke). Lineage: Eukaryota; Metazoa; Platyhelminthes; Trematoda; Plagiorchiida; Fasciolidae. The record is from RNAcentral.
ACGUUUGACAAGAAACACCAGUUCUCUUCCGGUCACUGAAGUCAAGCAACUUCAGUCCCGGUUAGUACUGACAUCGAUGAGCACCUGGGAAUACCCUAUUACCACUGAUACG